CUUACCAGUGCGGAUGCACACUGUUCUCUUACAGAGACCAACACUUUAACUCGUUUAUUACUCAUGAGUCUGAGAAGGGCUAAGUCAGACAGCAUCCUGACAGAGACUCAUGAAAGAGCUUUCUCUGCGCAUAGUACUGAAUGCGGCUGACGGUUCUCUUCUGAAUACAUCUGCACUAACCGAGACCAGCUGGCAAGGCACAGCUGGGCUAGUCAUGAGCGCACAGCUUUUGCUCUUAGAAACAGUAGACGAAGACAACCCACGGCUGUAAAACUUUCCCCCUCUGAGAAGCAGCUUCCCAGCCGUAGCCUAUCUUGAAAGCACCCAAAGAAAAGCUGCGUGUGGCGUGGGCGUUUCCAGACUUGCGGCACAGCGGGGACAGGGAUUUAUUGACCUAUGUGUGCUCCCUUCAGAGUCAGCAGCUCAUGCUCCAAACGGGAGUGGCCUGGACAGUGGUGACUGUAGCUCGGGUCAAGUUGAGAAAACCAACAGGGACAGGUGGUAAAGCUGAAAUCUACUGCCACUGUCCCUCCUCACUGUCAAGUCUGAGGUGAAUGUGCACUUCCAUCGAUGGCCUCUCCAUGUGCACAUAGCACCAACAUCUAAGUGAGCCAAGUGGCCAACAGAGGCAGACAUGAUGUCUUAAGCCCCAUGAAUUCCUACAGAACUCUGUGUGCAUACAAGCAGCCUGAUGAGAAACGGAACAUUGAAGCUUCCUAAAUAAAAGAUCUUCUCUGCUCCUCCUGGUCAACACCACAACCCACCUUUGUGACUUUCAAGAAGAAUGGCCAUAACUUCUCUCCUCCUUCCAGUAAUCAGUGAGGGGAGAAAGCCCCGCCCACCCUGCACCGGACAUACAUUGUGAAAAUCGGGAAGUGGAUGGAGUGAGUGAGAUGGCUCAGCGGGGAGACAUAUUUGGCACGAAGCCUAAGGAUCUGAGUUCAAUCCUUGGAGUCCACAUGGCAUAAGAUGAAGAUUUAAAGAUAACCUGAUGAAAUAUUGCAAUGGGAAGACUCUCGAGUCGGUAUGUGUCCAAGGCUGCAGCAGGCAUCCUCGCAGGCUGUGCACAGCUUGGAGGCAUCAUAUUUAGAGGGUGGGAAAUGAACAUCACAGACAAGGAAAACCUAAAUAUUUCUUGGGAUAGUAUGACAGGUGCUGAAAGGUGACAGACUAUACAGGAAGAAUAACUUCAAGAUUCAUGGAGAUGACCAUGUGGUCCCUCAACAACAGUGACAUCACUAAAAAAUAAAAAUAAAUUAGAGUGUCUUAAUUAA
Long non-coding RNA from Mastomys coucha (southern multimammate mouse), 1274 nucleotides. RefSeq lists it as uncharacterized. The transcript has 4 exons. NCBI's taxonomy places the organism in Eukaryota, Metazoa, Chordata, Mammalia, Rodentia, Muridae. The record is from RefSeq and is a predicted model, not a curated record.